AUUGAACGCUGGCGGCAGGCCUAACACAUGCAAGUCGAGCGGAUGAAGGGAGCUUGCUCCUGGAUUCAGCGGCGGUCGGGUGAGUAAUGCCUAGGAAUCUGCCUGGUAGUGGGGGAUAACGUCCGGAAACGGGCGCUAAUACCGCAUACGUCCUGAGGGAGAAAGUGGGGGAUCUUCGGACCUCACGCUAUCAGAUGAGCCUAGGUCGGAUUAGCUAGUUGGUGGGGUAAAGGCCUACCAAGGCGACGAUCCGUAACUGGUCUAAGAGGAUGAUCGGUCACACUGGAACUGAGACACGGUCCAGACUCCUACGGGAGGCAGCAGUGGGGAAUAUUGGACAAUGGGCGAAAGCCUGAUCCAGCCAUGCCGCGUGUGUGAAGAAGGUCUUCGGAUUGUAAAGCACUUUAAGUUGGGAGGAAGGGCAGUAAGUUAAUACCUUGCUGUUUUGACGUUACCAACAGAAUAAGCACCGGCUAACUUCGUG
This 484-nucleotide ribosomal RNA is filed under the name uncultured bacterium. Its description in RNAcentral is "partial 16S ribosomal RNA". It matches the Rfam family "Bacterial small subunit ribosomal RNA", at positions 30 to 507 of the family's 1533-position model. The record is from RNAcentral.